RNAcentral lists this ribosomal RNA (253 nucleotides) under uncultured prokaryote. RNAcentral describes it as "partial 16S ribosomal RNA". It matches the Rfam family "Bacterial small subunit ribosomal RNA", at positions 525 to 777 of the family's 1533-position model. The record is from RNAcentral.
ACGAGGGGGGCAAGCGUUGUUCGGAAUUAUUGGGCGUAAAGGGCGCGUAGGCGGUUUGACAAGUCUGAUGUGAUAUCUAUGGGCUCAACCCAUAGCCUGCAUUAGAAACUGUCGGGCUUGAGUAUGGGAGAGGUGAGUGGAAUUUCCGGUGUAGCGGUGAAAUGCGUAGAUAUUGGAAGGAACACCUGUGGCGAAAGCGGCUCACUGGACCAUAACUGACGCUGAGGCGCGAAAGCUAGGGGAGCAAACAGGA